Molecule: ribosomal RNA, 490 nt
Filed under: uncultured bacterium
Lineage: Bacteria
Description: partial 16S ribosomal RNA
Rfam family: Bacterial small subunit ribosomal RNA
Source: RNAcentral
AUUGAACGCUGGCGGCAGGCCUAACACAUGCAAGUCGAACGGUAACAGGAAGAAGCUUGCUUCUUUGCUGACGAGUGGCGGACGGGUGAGUAAUGUCUGGGAAACUGCCUGAUGGAGGGGGAUAACUACUGGAAACGGUAGCUAAUACCGCAUAACGUCGCUAGACCAAAGAGGGGGACCUUCGGGCCUCUUGCCAUCGGAUGUGCCCAGAUGGGAUUAGCUAGUAGGUGGGGUAACGGCUCACCUAGGCGACGAUCCCUAGCUGGUCUGAGAGGAUGACCAGCCACACUGGAACUGAGACACGGUCCAGACUCCUACGGGAGGCAGCAGUGGGGAAUAUUGCACAAUGGGCGCAAGCCUGAUGCAGCCAUGCCGCGUGUAUGAAGAAGGCCUUCGGGUUGUAAAGUACUUUCAGCGGGGAGGAAGGGAGUAAAGUUAAUACCUUUGCUCAUUGACGUUACCCGCAGAAGAAGCACCGGCUAACUCCGUG